This 253-nucleotide unclassified non-coding RNA is filed under the name uncultured Halomonadaceae bacterium. RNAcentral describes it as "contains 16S-23S intergenic spacer region". It matches the Rfam family "Bacterial small subunit ribosomal RNA", at positions 524 to 776 of the family's 1533-position model. Lineage: Bacteria; Pseudomonadati; Pseudomonadota; Gammaproteobacteria; Oceanospirillales; Halomonadaceae. The record is from RNAcentral.
UACGGAGGGCGCGAGCGUUAAUCGGAAUUACUGGGCGUAAAGCGCUCGUAGGCGGCCAAGUGAGCCGGUUGUGAAAGCCCCGGGCUCAGCUUGGGAAUGGCAUCCGGAACUGUUUGGCUAGAGUGCAGAAGAGGAAGGUAGAAUUCCCGGUGUAGCGGUGAAAUGCGCAGAGAUCGGGAGGAAUACCAGUGGCGAAGGCGGCCUUCUGGGCCGACACUGACGCUGAGGUGCGAAAGCGUGGGUAGCAAACAGG